UUAAAUUGAAGAGUUUGAUCAUGGCUCAGAUUGAACGCUGGCGGCAGGCCUAACACAUGCAAGUCGAACGGUAACAGGAAUCAGCUUGCUGAUUCGCUGACGAGUGGCGGACGGGUGAGUAAUGUCUGGGAAACUGCCUGAUGGAGGGGGAUAACUACUGGAAACGGUAGCUAAUACCGCAUAACGUCGCAAGACCAAAGAGGGGGACCUUCGGGCCUCUUGCCAUCGGAUGUGCCCAGAUGGGAUUAGCUAGUAGGUGGGGUAAAGGCUCACCUAGGCGACGAU
This 285-nucleotide ribosomal RNA is filed under the name Escherichia coli. RNAcentral describes it as "partial 16S ribosomal RNA". It matches the Rfam family "Bacterial small subunit ribosomal RNA", at positions 1 to 280 of the family's 1533-position model. Lineage: Bacteria; Pseudomonadati; Pseudomonadota; Gammaproteobacteria; Enterobacterales; Enterobacteriaceae. The record is from RNAcentral.